This 680-nucleotide long non-coding RNA is filed under the name Chinchilla lanigera (long-tailed chinchilla). Its description in RNAcentral is "lncRNA (ENSCLAG00000025352.1)". Lineage: Eukaryota; Metazoa; Chordata; Mammalia; Rodentia; Chinchillidae. The record is from RNAcentral.
AUGAAUAGGAGGUGCUUGUGGAAUGUAGUCCUCAGGGGAAGCCUGCCACUCCUCACCAGGGAAGGAGAGCAACAAAGAAACCUCAACUAUGUGGAAUCUCUGACCUGGCAAGGUCAUUUUCUUUCUACAAAUUUGUAACCUGAAAGAAGAGCGUCAUCUUACAUGUGUCAUUGGAAAAUGGAAAUGAAAAUACAACGCAGGGGUUGUCUAGAGGGUGUAAAUCACACAAUAGAAGAGAGAGGACUGCACGUGAGGAGGACCAGAUGUCAGCGAUCUUCUACGGCACAGUGACACACAGGGCUCAGAUGUCCGACUCUGAGCGACCGUGUAAAUGUCUCCUUUAAUCUGAGAAAGAAAGCAUAGAGAUGGAUGCAGUGAGCAGGCCGAAGCAAGUGUGCAGCCCACGCGCACCGCCGAGCAUAGCGUUUGUCACGGAGGUGCUGCUCGUAGCGUUUGUACCCAGCAGUUACUUGCAUGUUAAAUGAACAAUAAUAGCAGGGAAGAGAAAUGAAGUAUAUUUUUUAUUUGAAGGAGAAUUUAAAAAAACAAUGAAAACAAUACAAAAUUACAAAAUAAGAUCACAGGACAUUAACAGUGGUUGUCAUAUUUCAUAUUGUUGUCUUCAAAGUAAUUGCUCAGAUGACCAGAUAUAGACAAGUAAAAGUGAUCAAACAAUAAAA